Molecule: long non-coding RNA, 984 nt
Organism: Papaver somniferum (opium poppy)
Lineage: Eukaryota; Viridiplantae; Streptophyta; Magnoliopsida; Ranunculales; Papaveraceae
Exons: 4
Source: RefSeq, a predicted model, not a curated record
GAUGGUUCAUAUUCGGAAUCAUGAAUUAAAGAAUUAAUUAGCUUAUGUUAGACAUGCAUUCUGCCAUAUUUUUUUAACAAUUAUUAUAUAGUGUAUGCUGACUAGAAGUCUAGAAAAAUUUGGUAAGUAAUUUUUUACUAACAAAGUGUGUGGCUCAUAAAUUGUUGCUCGUGAUUAAUAAAGACACUAGAACUUAUAAUUAGAUGUUUGCAUGCAAUUAGUACACUUACUUCUAAUUUUACAUGUUUUGAAUCGGACACUUUGGGGUGAUUAGAGACAAUGAUCACCACCAAUGUUGUAUUUCUUCUCUUCUCAGGAAUAAGACAUGUGGUUUGAUGACUAAUGUCAAUUUUUCCCACUUGUAGUAGUAGAAGAGACGGUAGGGAUGGAAGUGCGAGUUUUGAAAAAUAAUUUGGAGCCAGUUGUUGUGCUAGUGGUGAUCAUGGAAUCAGCGAAUUAAUCAGUUGAGCUGAUGUGUGAGGAUCUAAAAGAUGAGGAUGUAAAGCCCCUAUCUCCUCAGAAGCUUGAUUCCUUAGAAAAUGAUGACCUUGAACUUGGAUAUGGAUAUGCUGGUAUCCUUUCCAAAAUUUUGGACCUAGCAACAUUUUGAGGUGGGGGGCUUGCAAGGUUCAUUGGUAUCUGCUUAAUUGUGGUGGUUGUUGCAAUUGCGGAGGGGACUCUUGAAGGUGGGCUAUUUGGAGAUCUUUCCUUCAUGUGUCCUGAGUUUAUGCAGUGCAAGGUUCAGUUUUUUACUUGAUGAAGAGUUAACGGAAGUUGCUGCAAGUGAUGAGGUCAGAGCUGCUAUUGUAUAUAAGAUUAGCAUGGAGCACAUUGGCGAAGAAGUAUGUUAAUUAUUUGGUUAUUUUUGAAAACAAUGUGGUAUGCUUCAAGGUAUUUGUUGUUGCCUGCUAAAUAUUUGUGCAGAUUGAUCUAAUUGAUAAACAGACGAAUUAUUGUAAAUGAAAAUUAAAGUAAUACCUGUAU